RNAcentral lists this ribosomal RNA (304 nucleotides) under Escherichia coli. RNAcentral's name for it is "partial 23S ribosomal RNA". It matches the Rfam family "Bacterial large subunit ribosomal RNA", at positions 1113 to 1416 of the family's 2925-position model. Lineage: Bacteria; Pseudomonadati; Pseudomonadota; Gammaproteobacteria; Enterobacterales; Enterobacteriaceae. The record is from RNAcentral.
CAGCCAUCAUUUAAAGAAAGCGUAAUAGCUCACUGGUCGAGUCGGCCUGCGCGGAAGAUGUAACGGGGCUAAACCAUGCACCGAAGCUGCGGCAGCGACACUAUGUGUUGUUGGGUAGGGGAGCGUUCUGUAAGCCUGUGAAGGUGGCCUGUGAGGGUUGCUGGAGGUAUCAGAAGUGCGAAUGCUGACAUAAGUAACGAUAAAGCGGGUGAAAAGCCCGCUCGCCGGAAGACCAAGGGUUCCUGUCCAACGUUAAUCGGGGCAGGGUGAGUCGACCCCUAAGGCGAGGCCGAAAGGCGUAGUC